AAAUAUAAAAAUUGAUGAUUCCAUUUGAAACUGUAAGAAAUGGAAAUAAUUAACAAAGGCAAUGAUGAACCCCGUCAAUUCAAAACAGAAAUGCUAUCUCUAGGUUGUACUACGUAAAGUGUGGGAAAAACACGAGACUCUAAACAAUCGGUAUGCACAGGUGUUCAGGUGUUGUUCCCGCUUAAAGAAUAAUCAUACUAGGUCGAUUUCCGAAGAAUCCAAAAAUAAGAAGCAAACUGAUAAAACUACCAAGAUGAUGGGAUACAGAAAUGGUCACCAUGCAAUUUACGUAUUCAGUAGAAGAAAAAAAUUGAAAUGUAGUGCUCAAAUGAGAUCCAGCUACACAGGGUUGCCUUCUAUAUUUAUUCGACUUAACCAGAAAAUUAUACAAAAUUGUGGUUAUAUAAAUUUGCCCCUUUCGUGUUUUAUGAAAAACUGGAUCAUCCUCAACUGAAAGAAAAUUCGCAAUGAUUUCAGAAACUGAACAUAAUUAUGGACCAAAAAUGAAAUCAAAUUUUCAAAGAUGUUGCCAUAGCCACCAUUUAGGGGUUACAAAAUAGAAGAGUUUUUUUACUUUACUUUAUUAAUAUCUGUUGUUCAUCUGGGACACAGAUGAAAUUCCACAGAUGAGUGCUAUAAAAUUUUGGGGAAAAUUCAUACCGCAACAGUAUAUAAUAGAGAGUCUUUAAGUCUAGUGAGUAAAUAAUCUUUCUCAAUGCUCUGCGCCCUCGUGCACAGUCGCUAUUCUCAGGUUUAAUUUAAGCGAGCCACAGUGUCUACUAUUCUUCACCAAACUUUAUACGCGUAUGGUAACAGAAAGUGAAAAAACGAGAAACCCAAUAAAACCUGGAGUUUUUUUCAAAAUUGUAUUAUGAAUAUAAUUUAAAACUCCUUCGUUUAAAAUCGCGAUGGGAUCGGCAAUGCUAAUUAUAGGUACCGGUUCACAGACCAUAAAAUUUGGUUAUAAAAUAAUAAAAUAGAAAACCGCAGGAUUACCAUAAAAACCUUUCUUCCAUAUAAUUUGUGGACGGGAAAUUGGACCAACUAUUUUCAAAGUGCAAAGUGUAUUAUCUAAUAGCUAUAUAAUUUAUGAUUAUAUGUAGGUAUAUGUGUAUGUUAUCAAUUUAAAAACACUUCCAAAAUUGCUUAGAUUGACAUCAAUCCAAAACAAUGCGAAAUGGCAGGGAAGUGAGAUUUGUUUACACAAAGUCAAAACCUAACCCCUAAUUAUGACGUCAUACUAAUACCGCUUAUUGACUUUUUUUCUACAAAGGUUGGGUUUGUUUGAAAAAAAAAAAAGAUUAAGAUUCCCCCUUAGCUCGACGUGCUGCAAGAAAAUUUGCAAACAUAGAGAUACAACCCUAUACGUCCAAUCAUUAGCGUUCGUUAAUUGAACGUGUCGAAGAGUCCUUCUUUCCGGGAACAAGAGGCCCAUCCCGUAACACUACCCGGUGCGUGCGUCAUCACAAAAGAACAAGUGCACUCCACAUUAUAUGCGAGCCGUCACUUUUUUCUUGCGUUUGAGCGCGAGUCUUCUAUACAGUGUAAUUUUCUCACGGACGUCGCUUGACAUCUACAUCCUGCGAGAUUAUUGUGAAAUCUUUUCGUUUUUUUUUUUUUUCGAUUACGACGAAAAACUUUCACUAUGGGUCAACACUGAAUAUGUAUAUUUAAAUAAAGAUAAAAACAGGAAAAUGACGAUAGUAGAGUAUUCUAAAAUAACACAAAACUUGCCAGAAUCGUGUGACCAUGGUUAUUUCCAUUUUCACAUUUAUAUUUUUGUAGUCUUUCGCAAACAUUUCUAAAAUGGUAAAUGGCAAAAAAUGCGGAAUAUUCAAAUUUUCCAUAAAAAAAAAUCACGUUACACAUAACAGAUUAGUUCUACAUCCAUAUAUGAGCAGACGUUGCCAAAUGUAGAUCAAACUCUACAUAAAUUUUACAAUGUUAAAUAUCAGUUAACACUGCAUUGUUAAAUCUGUUGUAAACUACUGCUUUAAAGAAAUAUAGAAAAUUAGUUAAUUUAGAGGUUACUAUUAAAAAAAUGCAGAACCUUGGAGCAUAUUGCGAUUGAAACAAUCUCAUUUUUUGGAGUACACGCACAAAGAGAGAAAUUAAAGGCGGCUAUGAAAAGGCUAUAAUAAGAAUUUACGUACCCAUAUUCCGUUCGUUUUAAGUCUUAACGAUAUUAUUUAAGAAUGAUCGUAACAAUGUAGAUAGAGAAUAGAUCUGAACCUAAAAAACAGAGCCCAACAAUAAGUAACAAAACGGGUCGGUAUUAGUACAUACGCUGUGAUAUAUUUUACAUGUAAAAUGAAAUCAAUGCCAAGUCGCCCAUAUUUCCAGUCCUAUCCAAAUCUGUCAAUUUUUCUGCCUUACUCUUGACGAUUAUAAACUAAAAAUUGGCAACAUUGUGAUCAGUGUCAAUGACGCCCUGAAGCGCAGAUAUGAAUUGUCCAUAUUAACGUCUGUGGUCUUUGACAUGCCCAACCAAAAUAGCCAAACAUUAAUUCAUUUGGUAAUAGGGAAAAUUAGUAUUUUUCUGAUUUUGGAGUACCUCUACAGUUUCACCCAGGUGAGUAAAUAACAUUUUCCGUAUUAAAAACAAUUGCAUUCGUUCCAAAUCGCAAAAAGCGCGCAACCCGUUGUUAUUUCUUGUUACAAUCUUCUAUUUCAGGCGAGCUAUCAAAAAAAAAGAGUGCAAACAUUCCGAGGGUGGAGCACAGAGAAAGCUAGCGAAUUCCCGGUCUCGCGAAAAGAAUGUCGAGAAAGAGAGAGGGUCGGAACGGGGGCGUAAAUGUCAAACACAACGCCGCCUGUGUUGCGUUUUAAUUAUACUAUACGAUUAUGAUUACCGCACGAAUUAGCGAACGGAUGCUGUAUGCAAUUCCAAGCUCUCUUUCAUGUGUGCCGUAAUAAGACCGCAUUAGACGUGCAUGUUUAAUAGCGGAUGUUUAAUUCGCUCCCCUUUUUUCCGUUUAAUUGCGUGUGGAAUUUUCAAAGCGGUCCACUUGAGACUCCGACCCAUCACGACAAGUUCAUUUAUACGGAAAAUAACUGCGCAGAAUAUCCAGAUAACUGCGCAGAAGGAUCAUACUCAACUAACAUUUUUUGUUUUAUAAUGGUGACGGUUAAAUAUCGAUCACUUUUUUUUUAAAUCGUUUAUUUUAAUAAUAUGCGAGAUGCAACGAAUAAGAACAGCUCCAAAAGCUUUUUUUGGUUAAAUUAGAAAAAAGUUGCAAAAUUUAAAGUUUAACAACGUUGUGCUGAGGGAAAUACAAAACUCCCAUAACUUCCGAAAAAAAAACGAUUUCCGAUUUCGUUUUGAUUUUUUUCUGGUGUUAUUUAAAGAUAUAUAAAAAAUAAAGACACUUUCUCGUUGCCGCUUUUACAAAACUCCCGUAAUUUCCGAAGAUACGGCAAAAAAACGAAUUUUGCCGAUUUUUUUCUGGUGUUAUUUAAAGAGAUAUAAAAAAUAAAUUCGUAUCAGUGAUAAAACUACACCAUGCGAUUCUACACAAUAUGGUUCUACAAUCUUUAAAUCGCAAAAAUGGGUUUUUAUGAAAGUUUUAAUGUUUCGGUGUUGAGAAAAUGUAAGAAUAAUUUUAUUGACAUAUUGGUGCACCGUUUUUUGACGUUUUUGUGUUUAGUUUUGGGUGUUGGUCCUUUUUUUGAUUUUGAGAAGUUCGAUAUGCUACAAUGUACGGGCAACAACCAUAACAAAAACGCGAAUUUACGCUCCUUUUUAAACUUUUUUGCCAAUAUGAGUUGCGGUAAGUAUAGGUAGGACUUUAUACAUAAAAUAUGUUUAAAAUUUCAAAAUGUAAUGGGGUGGUCGUUUUCAAAUAAGCAAGUUGACAGUAACCGGUUGACCCGGAAGUGACAGGAAGUUGAAAAUAUUUUUAAAAACGGAUACGCUUGACACUGACCUUAACCUAAGAAUUUGCACAUUCCUCAAUUAGUUUGCAUGUAAAAUGCGACCAACUUAAUCAAAAAUUUGUUAUCUAAUCAUUUAAUUGUUCAAUAAUAAGAGUUUUAUUUCAAUAUUCGUCAAUUACACUAAUGGCAGAUAUGUAUGUUAUGUACGGACGCACAAACGGAAAUUCCUUGAAAGCAUAUCGCAUUUUCAACACUUACUGAAUUUUUUUAUUUUGAAACUGCAGGAAACAAAAAAGUUUUUAAAUAAGUUUUUCCAUAAAUUUAGUUAAGUAGACCGACAAGGGGGUAGUCUAAUUCAAUCCCCUUCACUCAAUUUAAAAAAUUACAAAUAAUACAGGAAGUGUGCUUUUAUAAUAGCAACAUUUUAUUGUUCUAUCUAUUUUAGUUUUUAAUAUAAAAAAUGAAAACAUUACCAAUGUUUAUACAACCAACUACGCUUUCUUUUAAAUAAGGAAUUACCAUCUACAAGUUUUUUGCAUCUGUUUUGGAACGCUUUGUAUAUAGCCCUAUUAAACCUUCACUUUUCAAUUGUUAUUUAUUUAUUAAUGUUUCCCGGAAAGAAACGUGCUCAUUUUUAUGUAAAUAUUUAUUGGGACCUAUGAGAUUUAUAAGAGUUUUACGGAAUAAGUUAAAAACCCGAAGAAUAAAAGUUAUAUAAUAAGAUUUAUAAGACCUUUUUAUAAACUCCGAAGUAACCAACCCAAAGGAUUUAUUGGGGAAGUAAGGGGAAACUUUUUGGAUCCGAUAUUGUAAAAUCCAAGAAUAUAAAAGUUUUUUUGCAUUUAUUGGACAUUUUAUAAAACCAUAAAAACUGUUAUUAAAGGUAAGACUCCUUAUAAAUCUCCUAUUAUUAUCCGUUACUUAAUAAUAA
Cylas formicarius (sweet potato weevil) is the source of this 4807-nucleotide long non-coding RNA. RefSeq lists it as uncharacterized. The transcript has 3 exons. NCBI's taxonomy places the organism in Eukaryota, Metazoa, Arthropoda, Insecta, Coleoptera, Brentidae. The record is from RefSeq and is a predicted model, not a curated record.